UUAACAAGUACUACUUUAAACCAAACACCGUAGAACCCUGAUGAAUUCUAAUUGAUAUCAAUAAAAGACGUUUGACAAAUCAACAUAACUCAUAUUAGAACGUUAGCAAUGAACGGUCGAUCAACGACUACUGCUUCACCGAUAUCACCAUACAUUCAAUUCAGUUCAGCAACGCCACCGUUUCGACUGGUGGUGCUUCAGUACUGCCAAGCCUUUCUGCUUCUCCGUCCCAGCCGGCGGAGGGUGGAGAAGUGCACGGAGGCCGAAACAGAUUGCGGAAGGAAGCCAUUUUGGUGACAUCAUAAACAAAGACUACUGCGUGGACAUUACGGUAGUAGUGUUCCACCAUGGAUUUACGAAAUCGCUCCUGGCCAGCUGUGUCCCAUACCUGCACCUGAAGAUGAGAUGAGUCUUGUUUCAGAUGAAAAUAGUAAACGACAAGUGUGUGUUUCUCAGUAUUAAUUCAAUAACCAGAGAGGAUUUUGAGAAAAACAGCCGUUAUUUGCAUCGACUCAACAUGCAGAUAUUUCACGAACAGCCCUGCAAAACAUUAUUUUGUGGUCUCUCCAAAACCUCACGCACAUGCGCUCUAGAAAACACGACUUAACAGCCAGAAUCCAAAUUAUCCAAAACCGACAUGAAUUACAUGAACCGACAACUUUGGUUGCCAUAGUGACAAAGGAUUCUGACAAAUAACGUCACAGCAUAUACUGUAGCUGACUGUGUAAAACUUCUGAAUGUAUAUAUUUUAUGAUGAACCGAAUCAACAGGAAAGCCAGUUCAAGGGACCAAAAAAAAACAAUUAACACAUUUUUUAAUUGUUAACCAUGAAAGCUAGAAUGCAUGGUCAAAGGGAACUGCAAUGUGUCUGAUCAGCCACCCUCUGUGUUUGUUGUAGAGUAUAAAGGAUGUUUCAUAAGUAUAAAAACAUAAGGAUCCAAUAUUAUGUUCACAUCAAAUUAAAGUAACUUAACAAAAUUGGAAUAUGUUGUAUGCGUCCUCACUCGUCUAAACACAGCCAUCUGAUUAAUAUGGCAUUUGUGGGCGAUGAAGUAAACAGCAAAAUCCACUUGUUUUUCUCCAUCUCAUGCGGCUGCCAUUUUGCCACUUGCUGUCGACUGAAAAAGACAUCACAGGGCUCGGAUAACAACCAAUCACAGCCAACCAGUUUUCUGGAUCUGAUCGUGUGGCAUUCGCAAGCGAAAGCCUUAACACUGGCCCUUUGGCACUGUGAUGUCAUUUUCAUCAGACACGUGCAGAAUUAUCCAGUCGGAAAAAUACAAUACCUUAGACAGAUGCCCAGACAUUAAUGUAGCAGACUUCCAAAAUGUGAGCGGUUCAGCAGUGUGAGUCAUUCUGCACAGUCACAGGAUGGGAGUGGGAGCUGUUUUCACUGGGACCAGAAUGGGCUAGAUUUUUUUUAAAACUAUGGUCCAAGACCAUAGUUAAAGACGGGAUUUUCUGUGAGAGUGGGAUGGCACGGAGUGAAAAUCCACUCCCCUGUCUCUUCUCCAUCCUACAUCUAUUGACAUAUCUGUUGUGAAGACCUAAAACAUUAAUUUGGAAGUUAAUGGCUACAAUAUAGCUUGAGUAUCCACUAAUUUAUUGCACACAGUAAUCUGAAUCUUCGAUACAAAUCCUAUGAAGGCUCUCACCAUAGUCCAACGCUUGUUUUAGCGUCCCAUUAAAGUCACAAUUUUUAAAUAUUUAAAUAAUCAGCAAGACUGAGGAUACCAAUUGUGUCUACCUUGGCUGACGUGUAAUUGAUUCUGCAUCUUAGAUUUAAUCACUCAAGUGCACUAUACAUAGAAAGGAUUGAUGCCCAUGUCAGGUAUCGCCGAUGCCAAGAUAAACAUUUUGCUUAGCGUAUACAUCCAUCCUUUUGCAGUAAUGCGAACACUGUCCAGAGUCCAGGGUCACACAGCCUAUCUCAGUUGACUUCAGGCAAAAUUUAGAGUGGACCUGACCUGCGCUUGUCACUCCUCACUCACAGGCAAGGCAGCUUUAUUUAUAUAGCACUUUUCAUAUACAAGCCAAGACUCCCUGUGAGAAGAGUUAUUUUACUCAAUGGGACCUUUCCUGGUUAAAUUAAAAAAAAAAAAACCAAACACAUUUGCCAACACAAAUACUUGUCACUCACAUAUGUCAGUUUAAACCGAGGCCCUAAGAGGAAGUGAUCUUUACUUCUUUCUCUGAACAGAGCAGGCGUUUUUGAAUGUUACAAUAAAUGUUUCAAAGCACUCAAUAUACCAGAAGUAUAUUGAUUUGAUUGAUUGAUUACCAGAAGGUUUGAUUUCGCUUUAUCCUCACAAGGGUCGCGGGUGAGCUGGCGCCUUUCCCAGCUGACUUUGGGCAGUAGGCAGGCUACACAUUGACCUGGGUGCCAGCCAGUCACAGGGCUCACAUUGACAAACAUCUGCACGCUUAAUCAUACUUUCAUACAGUUAAGUACUUACCAUUGUAAAAUAACAUAAAUGACAAAUUUAUGUCAUUCACUUCUUUCAAAUUAAUUGGCAUGAAGUAUCAUUUCUUUAACAAGUUUACUAAUUAAUGUUGCAACCGUUAGCUAGAUGCACCCCCCCAAAAAAAAAUUACAAAUAUUUUGCACCUCUGAUACCAGAACACCAAUUUGCCACACAGCAAAAGCAGUGACACAAUGUGAAGGAAAUGAGAUGGCUGACUGAACAACUCAACGUGUAUUCAAUAAAAAGAUGGGUGAUGAAGGCUGAUCAAGUGUUUCCAAGUUUUUGUUUUUCGUUCAUGUUAUGUUCACAAAUCCCUUCUUUCGUGUGCUUAGCAUGUUAUUAAACAUAUUAACACAUUUUGAGACUGACUGAAAUGUCUGGUUGAAGAAACACAUUUGUCGUCAUUAUUUGCAGACCCCUUAAGAAAGCCUUUGUCACCCCAAGGUGACAAGUCUAGCUCCGUCACUGAACAUGAGAAAUGGGAGGUAAAGUGAGUGAUCAUCAGCUUGCUUUGUCCAACACUCCAAUAAACUAGCAUGACAAACAAGAGGAAGAGGUUUUUCUACAUUACAUUGCUUAAAAAUGUUUUCAGGAGCAACAAAAUUGAAGAUGAAGAUCCCUCAAUGAUGGUGCCUUUCUUAAUUUAACCACAGGGGCAGCUAUUAACCAAUGCCAAACGAUUAGUAUGAAGUCGUAAUACCAAUUCGGACAUGAACGAACAGUCACUGCUGACUUAAAUAAUGAAGAAAAAAAGGUAAACAAAAAAUCAUCAAUAAUCUCUGAAAUCGGUGAGUGAUAAGAGUAGCUGUGGCAUUUUAUGGGCCUGCUCCAUUAGAGGUGGAGGAUGUGGAUGAGGGGGAGGGAACAAGUAAACACCUCCAAUUUCCAUCCACACAAGCUUCAAUGUUACCUUGAUCGUUUCUCCUUCAAUUUCCACCGCUUUCUCCCUGAAGUCCACGCCGAUGGUGGCCUCGGUGUUGUCCGGAAAGCUACCGCCAGUGAAGCGGAAGUUCCAGAGAGGAGGUGCUCAGGUCCGCGGAGGACGUGAAGCUGGCGCCAGCGUCGUUGCUGCUACUGGCUCGGCUCCGGCUUCUGUAAACAUCCAUGGAUGAUGUCAGAAUGGUGACAUUGUCGUCUGCUCGGCUAGGCCGAGUCGCC
Molecule: long non-coding RNA, 3623 nt
Organism: Hippocampus zosterae (dwarf seahorse)
Lineage: Eukaryota; Metazoa; Chordata; Actinopteri; Syngnathiformes; Syngnathidae
Exons: 4
Source: RefSeq, a predicted model, not a curated record